GACGAACGCUGGCGGCGUGCUUAACACAUGCAAGUCGAACGGAAAGACCCUGCUUUUGUGGGGUGCUCGAGUGGCGAACGGGUGAGUAACACGUGAGUAACCUGCCCUUGACUUUGGGAUAACUUCAGGAAACUGGGGCUAAUACCGGAUAGGAGCUCCUGCUGCAUGGUGGGGGUUGGAAAGUUUCGGCGGUUGGGGAUGGACUCGCGGCUUAUCAGCUUGUUGGUGGGGUAGUGGCUUACCAAGGCUUUGACGGGUAGCCGGCCUGAGAGGGUGACCGGCCACAUUGGGACUGAGAUACGGCCCAGACUCCUACGGGAGGCAGCAGUGGGGAAUAUUGCACAAUGGGCGGAAGCCGGAUGCAGCAACGCCGCGUGCGGGAUGACGGCCUUCGGGUUGUAAACCGCUUUCGCCUGUGACGAAGCGUGAGUGACGGUAAUGGGUAAAGAAGCACCGGCUAACUACGUG
This 468-nucleotide ribosomal RNA is filed under the name uncultured bacterium. Its description in RNAcentral is "partial 16S ribosomal RNA". It matches the Rfam family "Bacterial small subunit ribosomal RNA", at positions 28 to 507 of the family's 1533-position model. The record is from RNAcentral.